Non-coding RNA from Callithrix jacchus (white-tufted-ear marmoset), 1422 nucleotides. The record is from RefSeq and is a predicted model, not a curated record. NCBI's taxonomy places the organism in Eukaryota, Metazoa, Chordata, Mammalia, Primates, Cebidae.
AGGAAAAAUCCUGCCCAGUUUCUGGGGAAGAAUGGUUUUUCUAAUCAAAGGAACCUUCGUGGAAUGCCUGAAGUCCGGUGGCUCCCUGAUAACCGGGAGUAACAGGAUGUAACAGGAGAGGCCAUCAAUCCUCCUGCCCAAAGGAGCCAACUGGGGCCAACUAGAACAUCUCUGCUGCCUCCUAAGGGAGUGAGUGUGUUUUCUGGAGCUGCUGCCUAUGAUUGCAGGGGAGAAAGAUGAUCUGAAGAGUCAGCUGUGAACUUAUUGCUGCCCAUUCUCCAAGAGGGUGUGGCUGCCUCCACCAACAUGGUGCAUUCUCCCAUAGCGCUGAUGGUCUGUGAUGACCCAAGAACUCCCGGAUCCAUGUGAAGAAUCUGUUCAAUUGUGGACCAGAGUGAGGGAUGAGGUUUGAGAAGCUGAAGGGGAGCAGAAGGAACACUCUACUGGGAGUCAGGAGAUCCAAGUUCCAGACUCAGAUCUGCCAUGAAUACUCUCAGUGACUUUGGCUGGUCCCUUUCCCUCUCUGGGCCUCAGUUCUGUAACCUGUGAAACAUGGUCACACUAAAUGCCUCCUCGUUUAACUCCCUCCCCAGUUCAGAUAUUAGAACGUCGAGUUAAUGAGGGACUGUAUUAAGUAUUACAGUGUUUCACAUCAGAAUUCCUUUCCUAUAGCUGAUAAAAAUAUUUAACCUGUCCAGUCUAUCAUCGAUGGGCAUUUGGGUUGAUUCCAGGUCUUUGCUAUUGUAAACAGUGCUGCAAUGAACAUUCGUGUGCAUGUGUCCUUAUAAUAGAACGAUUUAUAGUCCUUUGGAUAUAUACCCAGUAAUGGGAUUGCUGGGUCAAAUGGAAUUUCUAUUUCUAGGUCCUUGAGGAAUCGCUACACUGUCUUCCACAAUGGUUGAACUAAUUUACACUCCCACCAGCAGUGUAAAAGUGUUCCUAUUUCUCCACAUCCUCUCCAGCAUCUGUUGUCUCCAGAUUUUUUAAUGAUCGCCAUUCUACCUGGCAUGAGAUGGUGUCUCGAUGUAGUUUUGAUUUGCAUUUCUCUAAUCACCAGUGAUGAUGUUUUCAGAUGUUUGUUGGCCUCAUGUAUGUCUUCUUUUGUAAAGUGUCUGUUCAUAUCCUUUGCCCACUUUUGAAUGGGCUUGUUUGUUUUUUUCUUGUAAAUCUGUUUUAGUUCUUUGUAAAUUCUGGAUAUCAGCCCUUUGUCAGAUGGGUAAACUGCAAAAAUUUAAAAUGUGGCACAUAUACACCAUGGAAUAUUAUGCAGCCAUAAAAAACGAUGAGGUUGUGUCCUUUGUAGGGACAUGGAUGAACCUGGAGACCAUCAUUCUCAGCAAACUGACACAAGAACAGAAAAUGAAAUACUGCAUGAUCUCACUCAUAGGCGGCUAUUGAACAAUGAGAACACAUGGACACAGG